Molecule: ribosomal RNA, 497 nt
Filed under: uncultured bacterium
Lineage: Bacteria
Description: partial 16S ribosomal RNA
Rfam family: Bacterial small subunit ribosomal RNA
Source: RNAcentral
AUUGAACGCUGGCGGCAUGCCUUACACAUGCAAGUCGAACGGUAACAGGUCUUCGGAUGCUGACGAGUGGCGAACGGGUGAGUAAUACAUCGGAACGUGCCUAGUAGUGGGGGAUAACUACUCGAAAGAGUGGCUAAUACCGCAUGAGAUCUACGGAUGAAAGCAGGGGAUCGCAAGUCCUUGUGCUACUAGAGCGGCCGAUGGCAGAUUAGGUAGUUGGUGGAUAAAAGCUUACCAAGCCGACGAUCUGUAGCUGGUCUGAGAGGACGAUCAGCCACACUGGGACUGAGACACGGCCCAGACUCCUACGGGAGGCAGCAGUGGGGAAUUUUGGACAAUGGGCGAAAGCCUGAUCCAGCAAUGCCGCGUGCAGGAUGAAGGCCUUCGGGUUGUAAACUGCUUUUGUACGGAACGAAAAGCCCCGGGUUAAUACCCUGGGGUCAUGACGGUACCGUAAGAAUAAGCACCGGCUAACUACGUGCCAGCCGCCGCAGUAA